AUUAAUUUAAAUUACUUUGGCAGAUUAGUGUAAUGAAUUUAGAAUUCAUAAAAGUAAAAAUUUUACAAGUAAUAC
RNAcentral lists this transfer RNA (75 nucleotides) under Trechus alicantinus. RNAcentral's name for it is "transfer RNA-Leu". Lineage: Eukaryota; Metazoa; Arthropoda; Insecta; Coleoptera; Carabidae. The record is from RNAcentral.